UAGGGAAUCUUCCACAAUGGACGCAAGUCUGAUGGAGCAACGCCGCGUGAGUGAAGAAGGGUUUCGGCUCGUAAAGCUCUGUUGUUAAAGAAGAACGUGGGUAAGAGUAACUGUUUACCCAGUGACGGUAUUUAACCAGAAAGCCACGGCUAACAACGUACCAG
This 164-nucleotide ribosomal RNA is filed under the name uncultured bacterium. Its description in RNAcentral is "partial 16S rRNA". It matches the Rfam family "Bacterial small subunit ribosomal RNA", at positions 355 to 511 of the family's 1533-position model. The record is from RNAcentral.